RNAcentral lists this ribosomal RNA (328 nucleotides) under uncultured eukaryote. Its description in RNAcentral is "partial 18S ribosomal RNA". It matches the Rfam family "Eukaryotic small subunit ribosomal RNA", at positions 1470 to 1796 of the family's 1831-position model. The record is from RNAcentral.
CCCUUAGAUGUUCUGGGCCGCACACGCGCUACACUGAAGGGAUCAGCGUGUUCUUUUCCUGGUCCGAAAGGAUCGGGUAACCCGCUGAACCCCCUUCGUGGUAGGGAUCGGAGCUUGCAAUUAUUCUCCGUGAACCAGGAAUUCCCAGUAAGCGCAAGUCAUAAGCUUGCGUUGAUUACGUCCCUGCCCUUUGUACACACCGCCCGUCGCUACUACCGAUUGGACGUUUUAGUGAGGAUUUUGGACUGAGCCAAUGGUGGUUCACACCACUGUUGUGCAUGGAAAGAUCUCCAAACUUGAGCGUUUAGAGGAAGUAAAAGUCGUAACA